RNAcentral lists this long non-coding RNA (28320 nucleotides) under Hordeum vulgare. RNAcentral describes it as "long non-coding RNA (HVUL_LNC005621)". Lineage: Eukaryota; Viridiplantae; Streptophyta; Magnoliopsida; Poales; Poaceae. The record is from RNAcentral.
UCGCUUUAGAGUGUAUGAAUAAAAUAAAUAAUAUGCUAGUUGAUUCUAGAGUGUAAUAGUACCAAGUUUAGGUAACUGAAUCGUGAAUUCGAAAGUGUGCAUGGUCUGACCACAUAAUGUGUUGAAAUCAUAGUUCUGUGCAUCAAACGUUCUAGGAGACUGCAAGAUAUUCACUCUCUCUAUAUAGUAGAGAACAUAAAAAAAGUAAAUCAUCAAACAUUUGUGAAAGAUAUGUCAUGAAUAACUAACAUCCGGUCCCAUGCGAGGAACAACUAGUAUACACCGAGUAAAAAAUUGGACCCACAAGACACCCGAUGCCUUGACCAACCCACGCUCCCUAUUCCUAGGGAGCUUGUAUAAUUUAAGGAUAUAUUUUCACAUCACAUGUAUUUGUUACUACAAAGUUUAUAUUGUUUUUUAUAAACUUGAUCAAACAUUAUGAAGUGUGACUCGGGUAAGAGCUAAUACGAGGAAUCCAUUAAAAUGAAGGGAGUACUAAUUAAGUUGGGGAUUGGAUAAUUUGCCCCUAGGUUGUUUCAAUAACUAGUGGCCUUCACUAAUAGAAAAUAGGGUUUUCGUCCGGAGCAUUAGUCCCGCUCGGGUUUUGGACCAGAACUAAUGUCACCACUAGUCCGGUUCAAAUGGUCGCGCUUUAGUCCCGGUUCCAACGGCUAGGCUUUAGUCCCGGUUCAUUUGGAACCUCUAGUUUCGGUUGGUGAUAGCAACCAGCACUAAAGGUGUCGUGGUAGGGUUGCGUCAAACCUGAGCCCCUACGAUCCCCUUUAGUCCUGGUUGGUGCUACCAACCGAGACUAGUUGUCCGUCUCUAGUCCCAAUUUGUGUCACCAACCGGGACUAAAGAUGUCACUAUAUAGAGUGCUUCGUCCAACCUCAGCCCAAGAGCUAUCCUUUCUCUGUUUUCCCCUUUCUCUCCUUUGUUCUCUUCCCCUUGAUCGAGCUCAUACUCCAUUUUUGCCAAGAUUUGUCAAGAUUUGAGGCACCCCAUCUAUCCAAGUGUUAAUGAAGGUCAACAACUUUGUCCUUUCAUCUCCCAUUUCUAGAUUAGCUCGUGCAAUGCUCUAUAAGUAUAUUGAUUUGUGGGUUUUAGUUUGGGAGUAAUUAUGUGGGUGUUUAUUCAUUUAUAUGUAAUUUGAUCUCAGAUUUCUCAAUGCAAUUACUCACAAGGUAAUCGAUCCAAAAAUCCUACCAAGGUUACAGAAUGAUUUGGUACAAUGUCGUGUCAGUUUCAAGUUGGUGUUCCCGCCAUCCUUCUUCAAUAUGAUGACGCACGUCCUAGUUCACCUAGUCGAAGAGAUUGCCAUUCUGGGUCAUGUAUUUCUACACAAUAUGUUCCCCUUUGGGAGGUUCAUGGGAGUCUUAAAUAAAUAUGUUCAUAACCAUGCUACGCCAGAAGGAAGCAUAUCCAAGGGCCAUGAAACAGAGGAGGUUAUUAAGUUUUGUGUUGACUUUAUUCCCGACCUCAAGCUGAUUGGUGUUCCUAAAUCACGACAUGAUGGGAGACUGAGUGGAAAAUGCAUACUAGGAAAUGAUUCAGUAAUAUGUAGGGACGUGCAUUCUUGGGUGCAAGCACACUACACAGUUCUACAAAAUUCUACCUUGGCGGCCCAGUAUAUUAAUGAACACAAGAAUAUUCUACGCUCCAAACACCCGGAGCAGUCUGAUGACUAGAUUACACGUGAACACAUGGGGACUUUCAGGAGUUGGUUGCAAACACAUCUCAUGGGUAACGAUACUACUGGAGAUGACCUGUACUUGUUGGUCAGGACACCAUCUUCGGCUGUAUUGACUUUCCAAGGGUACGAGAUAAAUGGGAAUACAUUUUACACGAUCGCCCAAGAUAAAAAGAGCACCAACCAAAAUAGUGGUGUCCGCUUUGAUGCAGCAAACACCAAUAGGGCAAAGGACACAUAUUACAAUCACAUAGAGGAGAUAUGGGAACUUGACUAUGGACGUGAUUUUAAGGUCCCUUUGUUUCGGUGCAAAUGGGUCAAUCUGACAGGAGGCAGUGUAAUUGAAGACCCGCGGUACAGAAUGACAACAGUGGGUCACAACAAUCUUGGGUACACAGACGAACCAUUCGUCCUAGCCAAUGAUGUGGCGCAAGUUUUCUAUGUGAAGGACAUGUCUACCAAACUGAGAAAAAGAAAAGAUAAGGAAGAGAAUACAUCAUACGAUGAGCCAAAGUGGCACAUAAUUCUUUCAGGGAAAAGAAACAUCGUGUGUGUGGAGGACAAGAUAGGCAUGUUAGAAGAUUAUGAAAAGUUCCAUGAAAUUCCUCCCUUCACAGUGAAGACUGAUCCAAGCAUCUUGUUAAACGAUGAAGAUUGUCCAUGGUUACGGUGCAAAGGGACACACGCGAAGAAAAAGUUUUAUACCCCAAGAUCCCACUCUAGGAUGUGAGUUUUUGGACUUAUAGCUGGAUAGUUCCACUUCCGACAAAAUGGAGGGAAUCUUUGUAAGAGUUAGGGUAUAUAUGUAUUUUGGCAUUUUGGCAUUUGCCGUAACCCUCUCAACUUUUUAGCACAUGCUAUGUUGGUGACAUGAUGAUACCAUGCCAAAUUUCGACCUGUAUAGAGUUCAUUUGUAGUGAUUUUCAAUUUAGAGGGUCAUUUAGCUCAAAAAAAAUCAUUGAAUGCGUGAAAAUAGCAAAUGAAGUCAGAGAGGGUUGAAAAAUGAUGAGGUGGCUUUGAAUGGUGCAUAUUGAAUGCACAAAAAGUCAGGAGUUGAAGUAAGCUUAAAAAAUGAAAUGCCUUUGUACCAGAUGAGUAUUCGUCCGAAACCCUGUUAUUUCGAAACAGAUUGUCCAGUUUGUACACAAAGUGCAUCCAGUUUUUUCCGUAACCCUCUCAACUUUUUAGCACAUGCUAUGUCGGUGAAAUGAUCUUAACAUGCCAAAUAUUAACCUUUUCAGAGUUCAUUUAUAGUGAUUUUUCAAUUUUAGGGUCAUUUAGCUAAAAAAAUCAUUAAAUGCACGAAAAUAGCAAAUGAUGUGAGAAAGGGUUGAAAAUUGAUGAGGUGGCUUUGAAUGGUGCAUAUUAAAUGCACAAAAAGGCUGGAGUUGAAAUAAGCUUAAAAAUGAAAUCCCUUUGUGACACAUGAGUAUUUGUGCGAAACCCUCAUACUUCGAAAGAGAUUGUCGAGUUUGUACACGAAGUGCAUCCAGUUUUUGCCGUAACCUUCUCAAUUUUUUAGCACAUGCUAUAUGAGUGAAAUGAUGAUACCGUGCCCAAUUUCAACCUUUUGAGAGUUCAUUUGUAGUGAUUUUAGAAUUAAUAAGUGCAAAUUUAAUUAUGCAAUUUCCUGUUAAAAUGAUACUAUAUAGUUGAUAGAAAUCUUCAGGAUGGAUCCACAAAAAUUUGAAUCAACUCAUUUGGUUUAGUUUCAAAUUGUUAUGUAUUUUACAUGAAUUAAUUUUAAUCUAUGAAAUUGAAUUUGUCAAAUAAUUAAAACAAAGGAAAAAGGUAUAAAACUAAAAGAGCUAAACAUAAUAUGUUUUUGAUUAACACACCUAUUUAAUAUAUCCUAAAAAUUCACAAAUUAAACAUGCUGAUAAAACACAAUAAUAUUAAAAAACAGGAAAGUGAAUCACUCAAAAAUCUAUUUUAAACUAAAGUUAUUCACAAACUAGUGAUUCACACAAAUUUCAAAGAAUUCAAAUUUAAACUAUUCAAAUUUGAAACUACCGGCACUAAGAGAAAGUAUAUAAUUUUUUGACCUAAAGAAAAAAGAUUCGCCCAAAAAGCCUAAAUAUUUGGCUGUAAGGAGAAACAAAAGUAAAAAAUAAAAGAAAAAACAAAAACAGAAAUCAUGAAAAAACCCUUUAGUCCCGGUUGCCACAACCAAUGGGGACUAAAGGUCCUCCUCCCCGAUUGCAGCCAUCCUUUAGUCUCGGUUGCAGCCACGCACCGGGACUAAGGUGGGAGCCGUGGAGUUUACCGUGCGUGAGGCCGCAAAGUGAUGUGAUGUGUUACAAGCUGGGUUCUUAUGACUUAGGAUCGGGGUUCUGACAACGUGCAACGAAGAAUCACUUCAAAGUUCUUAUCUAGCACAGGACAUAAGAGGAAAUGGUUUGUAGGGUACGAAACCACCUUAAAGCUAUCCUUUAUGAUCAAUCUAUCCAAGAGUUCGUACUGAGAUAAUACCAAGUUAUCCUUUCUAAUCGAUCUAUUCAAGAGUUCAUACUAAAAUAACACCAUAUGAUACACAUCAACCAACUGUAAUGUCACCUAGAUCCUCUAACGUCACCACAAGUAUCCAUGAGUUAAUUAUACGAUACACAUCAAACAAUUUCAGAUUCAUAAUACUCAACCUCAAAGAUUGCCCAAAUAUUUCUAUUGGAGAGCGUAGGACAAGAACGUGCAUCAACCCCUAUGCAUAGGUUACCCCAAUGCCACCUCAGGAAUCCGCAAGUUGAGUGCCAAAACGCACAUCAAGUUAAUCAAUAUGAUACUCCAUCAUCACCACAAGUAUUCGUAGCAAGACAUACAUCAAGUGUUCUCAAAUCCAUAAAAGUAUUCAAUCCGAUAAGAAAUCUCAAAGGGAAACUCAAUUCAUCAUAACAAAAUAGAGGGGGAAAACACCAUAUGAUCCAACUAUAUUAACAAAGCCGUGAUACAUCAAGAUCGUGCCAUCUCAAAAACAAGAGAGAGAGAGAUUGAACACAUAUCUACUGGUACAAACCGUCAGCCCCGAGGGUGGACUACUCCCUCCUCGUAAUGGCCUUCGCCGGGAUGAUGAAGAUGGUCAUGCGAGAUGGUUUACCCUCUCCGACAGGGUACUGUUUUCUCUCCAGAUAAGUUUUUCAUUGAUUCACAGGCGUUGCGGCGGCGGAACUUCUCGUCUAGGGUUAUUUUUCAUGGUUUAUAUAUUUAUAGGAAUUUUUGACGUUGGUUUCAUGCGAAGAUGGGCCACAAGGUGAGCACAAGACACCAGGGUGCGCCUGGGCCCUCUGGCAUGCCGUGGUGGGUGGUGCCCUCCUCAUGGCUCUUCUAUCCCUCCCACAAAGCUUCGGGGUUUCUUUCGUUCCAAAAAAUCGUCAAAAAAAGUUUCAGCUCAUUGGGAGAACUUUGAUUUCUGCACAAAAAACAAGACGACGGUAGUUCUCCGGAAAACAACGUCAAUCCGGGUUAAAUCUAAAUAAAUAAUAUAAAGUGCAUAAAAACAAUAUAAAAGUAUUGUAAACAUAGGUGAAUAUGGCAUGAAUACUUCAUAAAUUAUAGAUACAUUGGAGACGUAUCAGCACCCUGAAAGUUAAUUCCUACUCGUCCUCGAGUAGGUAAAUGAUAAAAGAAAUAAUUUAUGAAGUACGAAUGCUAGCAUAGUGCAUAAGUUUGAUCAAUGAUAAUUCUAACCACUUUUCUUAGAAUCAUAACAACAACUCUUUCUCAUAAAACUCAUCAUAAUAAAGUAGCAACCAAUUCACAUGUUAUGGUUCAAGCAAUGAAUUUUCUUGAAACUUAACAAGCUAUGUUCUUAGUCACAAAACAAUUGCAAUUCAACUUAUUCGCAACAAAGUCUAAGUAAGAGCUCCAUAUAAUCAAUCAUCAUACAGUCUUCCAUGAUUUCUAGUACUCAAAACAUAUUCUUAGAACAAAUGGAAUCCAUCGAACACACAGAAAGAUAGGGGCUUAAUGUUAUCCUCCCAACUCAUUUAUCAUAGAGAUAAUUGUCAACAAUUAUAAAUCAUGAUCGAAUAUAUUUGACUGGUCAUAUGUGCCUAGAUCUUUCUCCACCACAUGAUGCUUACCAACUAGAGAAUAAUUGAGGUUGAAAUGAGAAUGCAUACUAUUGACUCUUGCAUAAAAGUAAAUACUGAGAAGUAAAAGAUAUGCCCUUCACAGAGGGAAGCAGAGGGUUGUCAUGCGCUUUUUAUUUUUGGAUGCUCAAUCUCUUAAUGCAAAAGAACCUCACGUUAUAUUUCCCUUUAUGAUAGCAACCUUUAUUAUGCAGUCCGUCGAUUUUAUUACUUUGCCAUCGCAAGUUUGUACAACGCUUAUUUCCCUUACAAUAAAAUAUCAAACAUAUUUAGGAGCAAUUUUUAUUGCUUUAUGCACCGAUGGAAACUUACUUGAAGGAUCUUAUUCAAUCCCUAGGUAGGUAUGGUGUACACUCAAGGCAAGAAACUGGUUUAAGGGUUUUUGGAUGCACAAGUAGUAUUUCUACUUAGUACGAUUUUUUUGCUAGUAAAAGAUCCUAAGCAAGCACCACAUGUUGGAGGAUCCAUAACAAUAUAACUUCUAUGCAAAUAUACACAACCAUAACUCAUCAGGUUGUCUUCCUUGUCCAACUUCAACUACUAUCUCAAGUUUGAAAAUAAUUAAUGGGUAUUCACAAUCAUAGAAGAUGUCCAAGAUAAUAUAUUUGUAUGUGAAAUUUCUCUUCCUUAUACUAAUCAUUCAUGAAUUGCUUGUAUGACCAAUAUUGUGAUUGUCAAGCUUCAAAAGAUUUCACUUUCUAAACCCAAAGUGAAGUUUAUACCAUUAGGUAUGGUAUGCACAUAUAAUUUCAACUUCAUGUUAUUUAGUUCAUUCAACAUUUUACUCAUAGGAUAUAAAUGCAGCUCAAGAGUAAAUAUCAAACUACUCUCAAAAGAUAUAAGUGAAGAUCAAUGAGUAGGUAAACAAUCAAGUAGCUAACUAAGGACUCUCUCUCUCAAUAAAUAUUUUCAGAUAUGAUUAUUUUAUUCAAAUAUAAAAUAAAACAAAAGACACUCCAAGAAUAGCACAUAUCAUGUGGACGAAUAAAAAUUUAGGCUCAACAUAGGCUAACCGAUAUUUGUUUGAUGUACAAAGGUGGGACGCGUUGCAUCCCCAAGCUUAGAUGCUUGAGACUUCUUGAAAUAUUUACGUGUGGUGCCUUGGGCAUCCCCAAGCUUGAGAUUUUAUAUAUCAUUCAAUCCUCUCAUAUCCCAGUUUCACCUAAGUCUCAAAAACUUCAUCCACACAAAACUUGAAAAGAACUCGUGAGAUAGGUUAGUACACAUAAAAGUAAAUCAACACUUCAUGUACUGCCAAGACAAGUUGCAUAAUAAUUUUAAAACAUUAUAUACUUUAUAAUAUCAUUUCCACAAUUUAUAUUUACCAAUAUAAGAUAUGGAAUUUAUAGGAUAAGUAGAUAACAAAAAUAUGACAGCAAUCUGUCCAAACAGAACAGUCUGUAGAAUUUCAUACAAAACUUGGAGUUGUGUAACUCCAAAAAUUCUGAAAAUUUAGGACGUGAGAAAAAAUUUGUACGAUAACACUGUGUAAACAUUUCAGAAACUUCCAAAGUUCCAGUAAAAUGUGAAAAUUCAACCCCCCCCCCCCACACUACAGAAAAAGUUUCUGUUUUUACACAACACAUAUUAAACAUGUAACUCAAGCAUCCUAAGAGGAAAUUCUUGGAACUUUUCAUUGGAAAACAAAAUUAUAAAUAACAUAUAAAAUAUAACAACAAAAUAAAAUGAUGCUCCAAGCAAAACAAAUAUCAUGUGAUGAAUAGAAAUAUAGCAACAAUGAAGAUAUACCAAUAAUGUUGGAGACGAAAGAGAGGAUGCCUUUCGGGGCAUCCCCAAGCUUAGACGCUUGAGUAUUCCUUGGAUAUUACCUUGGGGUGCCUUGGGAACCCCAAAGAUUAUGUUCUUGCUGCUCCCUAUUCUCCUCAUAUUGACAUCUCACCCAAAACUUGAAAACUUAAAUUACACAAAACAUAACGGAACUUCGUGAGAUGGGUUAGUAUGAUAAAUAUAGAUCAUUCACUUAGGCACUGCCAAGACAAGAUUCAUAAUUGUUCUAAAAUAAUACCUACUGUAUUAUAUCAUUCCAAAAAUUUAUUUCACUCAAUAUAAGUUAACACUAAAACAAGCAAAUUAUGCAUGCAAAACAGAAUCUGUAAAACACAGAACAGUCUCGGAAGAUAUGCAUUAAACCAAUACUUACCUUACUCUAAAAAUUCUGAAAGAUUAGGACAACGUAGAUAAUUUUCAUACCUAAAAUUUGUUAAAAUUUCAUAAUUUUUUGACGCCCCAGUAAAAUCAUAUAAAUUAUGUACUGGACGUAAAGCCCCCCCCCCCCCCGUUUUUGUUUUUCCACAUAUUCAAAUCAACUAUCAUCCACACUAUCCCAAAGGAUUUACUUGACACUUUAUUGGGAAAAAGCUAUAAAACAUGAUUAAUACAAUAUCUUAGUCAUGUUAACACACAAAAUCAGUAGGGGUAAAUGUUUGAUUGUGUCCCAACAAACGCUUUUCUUUAAUGCCUUUUCAGCUAGGCAUGAUCAUUUCAAUGAUGCUCACAUAAAAAGUAGUAAUUGAAACAUGCAAGAGAGCAUCAUGAACCACAUGGCAAGAAAAUUUAAGUCUAGCCCACUUCCUAUGCAUAGAGAUUAUGAAAGAAAACAAUUUAUUGUAGCAAGAAUCAUCUUGCAUAGGAAGGCAAAACAAGCAUAACUUCAAAACUUUGAACACAUAGAGAGGAAACUUGAUAUUAUUACAAUUCCUACAAGAACGUGUUCCUGCCUCAUAAUAAUUUUCAGUAGAAUCAUGAAUGAAUUUAACAAUAUAACUAUCACAUACAACAUUAUUUUCAUGAUUAACAUGCAUAUAAGUUUUACUACUCUGCACAUAAGAAAAUUUCUUCGCAUUCAUAAUAGUGGGAGCAAACUCAACAAAAUAACUAUCAUGAGACACUUGAUUGGCAUAAUCCAAUCUAAAAAUAAAAUCAUGAUGAAAAGUUUCAUGGUUAUCAUUAUUAUUUGUAUCAUAAGUGUCAUCACGAUAAUCAUCAUAAUAGCAAUUUUAUUUUCAUAAUAGUCAAUUGAAACCUCUUCCAAAAUUGUGGAUUCAUCACUAAAUAAAGUCAUGACCUCUCCAAAUCCAUUUUUAUCAAUAUUGUGAAAAGAUUCAACACCCUCCAAAAUAGUGAGAUCAUUACCUAGAGUUGACACUCUUCCUAACCCACAUUCAUCAAUAUAAUCAUCAUAAAUAGGAGGCAUGCUAUCAUCAUAAUAAAUUUCAUCAUCACAUGUAGGGGGAGUAAUUAUAUCAUCAUCAAACAUAGCAUCCCCGAGCUUGUGGCUUUGCAUAUCAUUAGCAUCACGGAUAUUCAGAGAAUUCAUACUAACAAUAUUUCUAUCAUUCUCAUCANNNNNNNNNNNNNNNNNNNNNNNNNNNNNNNNNNNNNNNNNNNNNNNNNNNNNNNNNNNNNNNNNNNNNNNNNNNNNNNNNNNNNNNNNNNNNNNNNNNNCGGGGACCAUCGGGAGGGGUGUCACGCCCCAAGGGGUCUCAUGGGCUAUGGGAAGAGAUAAACCAGCCCCUAGUGGGCUGGAAUAAGUUCCCACUAAGGCCCAUAAGGUUUGAGAAGGAAAAAACACAAGGUGGAAAGAGUUUCCAAGUGGGAAGGUGGAAUCCUACUCCAAGUAGGAUUGGAGUAGGACUCCUCCACCUCCAAUUUCGGCCAAACCUUUAGGUUUUGAGGCUGCCUCCUCCCCUCCCUCCCACCUAUAUAUACGGAGGUUUUAGGGCUGAUUUGAGACGACUUUCUCACGGCUGCCCGACCACAUACCUCCAUAGUUUUUCCUCUAGAUCGCGUUUCUGCGGAGCUCGGGCGGAGCCCUGCUGAGACAAGAUCAUCACCAACCUCCGGAGCGCCGUCACGCUGCCGGAGAACUCUUCUACCUCUCCGUCUCUCUUGCUGGAUCAAGAAGGCCGAGAUCAUCGUCGAGCUGUACGUGUGCUGAACGCGGAGGUGCCGUCCGUUCGGUACUAGAUCGUGGGACUGAUCGCGGGAUUGUUCGCGGGGCGGAUCGAGGGACGUGAGGACGUUCCACUACAUCAACCGCGUUCACUAACGCUUCUGCUGUACGAUCUACAAGGGUACGUAGAUCACUCAUCCCCUCUCCUAGAUGGACAUCACCAUGAUAGGUCUUCGUGCGCGUAGGAAAUUUUUGUUUCCCAUGUGACGUUCCCCAACAGCACGUAGCGAACUGCACGCGCUUUUUGCCCCUGGCGAUGCCUACGGCCGUGGUGUAAUCAAUCAACCAGUCUUCUGGCUUGGUCGUGCCGUUGUAUUUCGGCGUAUCCCGAGGUAGGGUGAAACCUCGGGGGAACGGCUCUCCUCGGAUCAUGGGGCCGAAACAUGCCGGACCGACGGGUCCGUCUUCCUCUAGGAGGGCUGACUGGGCCAGGGCGAUGAUAUGCCGGCGGACGUCCCGCUCAUCCUGGGUGGCGUGGGCGCCAGCCCCGGUGGCGAGAGGGGAGGCGCCUCGUGAGCCAGAGACGUGAGUUCUUCGCGGGGGAAGAACCUCAUACUCCGAAUCGCCCUCGUCGCCUCCGCGACGCAAGCCCGAAGUGUGCUCGCUCUGGCGCUGAGAGUGCCGGUCUUGGCUUCCCUCGCCCCUCCGACCGGAAGGGCGAUGCGAGGAAGAUCCUUCUGCGUGGUGCUGGCCUCUAGGGUUGCGGCGUGCCCCUGAGUUCGGUCCCGGGGACUCCGAUUGAGCCUGACCGGGGUCAAACCGAGCAUGUUGCUGGUUGGCGGCGUCAAGGAGAUCCUUGACCUGCUUCUCCUGGAAGGCGCGCUCCUCGCCUUCCAGGCUUGCCAUCUCCUCCAUGGCUGCCUGCGCCGCUCGCAUGUUGGCCGUAGGAGUCUUGUAGGUGGGCAGAUCACCGCCUAGAACCUCGGCGAUGAACCGGCCGCGGAUACGGACCGAUCCAAGCCGGCUAGGGGCCUCGGAAAUCGGAGUGAGACCAUAUGCGGAGUUAUACUCGCGCUGCGUAGCCUCCAACCGACGUUUCGACGAAGCUACGGCGAUGCCCUCCUCCAAGAUACGCUUGCGGGCCUCCUCCAGCGAGGCCCGAGCGUCAGCAGGAUCAGCACAAGUGGUGACUGGUGUCUUCAGGCCGGCGAUGGCGUCCCAAAGAGUAUCAGCGGUGGCCGCAGCGGGCUCGCCAGCGCCUAUGGAGGCCUUGCCGGGAGCCGUGCUGGUGCCAGCGCCGAUAACCAUCACCUCCACGGUGUUGGAGACGGCAACAACGUGGUAUGGGGUGAAGAACCCCACCGACGGCGGAGGGCCGUCGAAGAUGAGGACGUUACUGGGGUAAACGUCGUGGGCAAGCAUCUCAGUGAUAGAGAGCCUGCUGAAGCUGGCGCAGAGCGCCUCAACGUCGAGGUCCUCGCCGAAGUAGCGCGGGCUGUCGUUGAGACGAAGGUCGCUGAAGAGAACGCUGAGGUUCUCCAUACCAGCGACGACGAUGCUAGGGAGCGCCUCGUCAUCAGAAUCUUCGUCCGAAUCCGCAUGGCGGACGGGGACGUCGAUCAUCAUGGGUGUCGCCUCAUCGAAAGCGGGCACCACGGGCAUGCAAACUGAUCCGGACGCGAUGCAUCCGGUGGUGUAGGUGCGGGGUCCCGCCCAGCGCGUAAAGCCAGCCGAUGCCGCGAUCCUCCCCACGGUGGGCGUCAAAUGUUGGUGAAUACUCACAACAUAUGCCAUGGGUAGGCUAAAGUCGGUGAGAACCGAAGGGACAAAGGUGGGCGCUAGGAAUGAGGUGGGUACACGCAUGGGACGCACGAUGUACCCAGGUUCAGGGCUCUCCAUAGAGAUAAUACCCCUAAUCCUGCCGGAGUGUUUGAAGUAUAGGAACAGAGUACAAUGUCGCUCCUGGAGCUGUGUUGGGAGGAGGAAGAGGGGAGCAGCCGACUCGUCUCUACCUUUCUCUCUGUGGUUGGUGAAUGUGUUGUGUUGAAUGACUGGUGAAGGAUCGGCCCCCUUGCAUGGAGGGCGACCGGGGGGUUUUAUAGACGAACCCGCCGGCCUACAAUAUGGACAACGGGUACAAGUGUGGGACCCGACUGGCAGCUUCGCCGGCUGGCAAGGGCCCACAAGGGUCUUGUCUUGUCGAUGGGGGCCCCGCAGGCUGCAUGGUCUCGAUUGCCUGUGGGACCCGCCGGCUGGCCAAUGAGGCUCUCGCGUAAGGUUGACGUUGAGCACGCGUUGUACGUCAAGCGUCGCCCCGCGAGAUUCUUCAUGGGCAGGUAGUACGACCGCCUCCACUGUUCCCCACGCCGAGUGCAGUAAUGGAGUGGGAGUAUGACGGUCCGACACUAUGCUAGGUGAUGGAUCAGAGCCGGGGUAGGUCAGCGGCGUGGUCGUCGACGCUCGUACCUGCCGGGCGCCCUGAUCCUGUACCUUUGCUGACGCGUAGCUACCUUUAAUCGUGAGGUCUCUUCCUGACCUACGAUCUGAUGUGACUUGUGAUCCUCGGCCGGCUAGCCUGCUUGGCCAGCCGGCUUAAGUGUGGCCGCCUCCUCCCCAGUCCAGCUGGCGGGACCAGACCGGCUCCGAAGAGGAGGUUGUUAGGAUUCUAGCCGGCAGGGGUUGCCUGGCCGGCCAGAAGGUGGCCGCCUCGUCCUCUAGCCAGCAGGUGAUGCCUAGCCGGCCAGAAGACUUGGGCCUUGGGAAUCUUCAUACGUUCAUGUCCAUUGGGCCGGAAAUGAAGGAAUAGGCUUGAUGAGCCUACCCCGGGGUUAUCCUCCCGACAGUAGUCCCCGAAGCUGGCGAGGUCUGCCGCCUGCGGGUGGGCGGCCUCACCGGCUUGUUGAUUUGUCUUGAUAUUUUGGCCGCUAUUCGCGGCGAAGGACGCCGGCUUCGAAACCGGGUGGCUUCGAAGCGACGCCUCGGUCUAGUCGUAACUUGUUCGGAGAACGCCACGUGCCAGGCCCCCCUGGCGUAAUGAUGGCGAUUACUGCUGAUGGGACCGGGCCUGGGCCCUGGGUCCCACCACGACGCCCCCUCGGCCUCCGCGCAGGAGAUCCUCUGCGAAUUUACUCCGCGGUGGUUGGGCUUAGGGGAGCGUUACCGCCCGUAAUACACGGGGUUAAUGGGGCUCGGUGCGCACCGGAUCCCCUCCCCACGACGCUUCGUGGGGGUUUAAAUGGGGCGCAAGGGUUCCAAGGAAGCCAUUCGCCCCCUCUUCUCGCCCUCCAACCGCGCUCUCUUCCUCCCUGCGUCCUGAGAAGAAGAGCUCGCGCCCUUCGUCUUCUUCAUCUUCGCCGUCGCGACAUCGCCGACCGCUUUGAGCUCUCGCCACCCGCAGUCAUGGCCAGCGGUUCCUCCUCGAAGAAGUCAUCGGUGCAGAAGGCGUCCUCAGAGGGGGCCUGGUUGGGCAGCGACGUCGACGAGGGGCACAUCAAGGCGCUUCGUCAUCAUCGACUACUGCCCCCGGCCUCCCAAGUAUUGGUGCGCCUCCCCAGCUCCGAGACCGCUCCCGCACCCGCCGCGGGAGAGGUUGUGGUCUUCGUCGAGCACUUCUACCGGGGCUUCGGGCUCCCGGCUAGCUCCUUCUUCGCUGACUGGCUCCAAUUCUUCGGCCUCCAGCCGCAUCAUCUGGCGCCGAACGCCAUACUGCAGCUGGCCGCCUUCGUGGUCCUGUGCGAGGGCUUCGUGGGGAUCGAGCCUCGCGUCGACCUGUGGUGCAGCCUAUUCUUCUUUAAGCAGCAAUCCAUCGCCAUGGAAAAAUCCAAGGUGGAGAAGCUCAGGGGCCGCGCCCCAUGACGCCGUGCUGGGCCGCGUUGGUGCAUCAUCGCCUGAAGUCUGGCUUCCCCCAGAUGCCUCUGCAAGACUCCAUCAAGCAUUGGCAGAAGGGUUUCUUCUACGUGAAGAGCGCCGACCCGGCCCAGGACGCCCUCAACAUGCCCCUGUUCGCCAUCGCUCCCCCGACGCGGCGGAACUGGGAUGCGAAGACUCCCAGGCCGCAUCCUGAGGUGGCGCUUAUCUGUGCCCACCUCGACAUCUUGGAGAAGAGCGGCCUCCUCGGCCACGACCUUCUCGCCACCAUGGUGGUCCGCCGGAUUCUGCCUCUGCAGAGGCGGCUGCAUCUGGUCUGCCAGAUGAGCGGCCGGCUUGAUCCAUGCCGGCUGUCCACCAAGAGGUUUACCCCGGGCGCUCUAGCGCGAAGGGUGAACCUGAUCUCUACUGCCCACAUGGAUGAGGGCGGGGAAUGGACAUGGGGGAUGUCCCCGUUCAACCGGGCUCACCCGCCUCCGAUGGUAGCUUUACUCCAUUCUUCUGUGUUGUUUUGUCUCGAAGCCCGUUGAAUUCUUUUUUGUAGCUGUUCGAGAUCCUGCAGGGGUCCCUCCGUCAGCCCACUCCCGAUGUGGAGGUGCCCGACGCCUCCGAGAUUGAGGACGAGGGCGCGAUGGAUCCCCGCUCAGACUCCUCCGCCGGCUCGGAAGAUCCCCUGGAGUCGGAAGGGACCGAGCCGUCUGGUGAGUAUACGCGGCACGUCGUAGCAGACUUGGACGGACGACGAUGAGGUAGCCUCAUUUUGUUCUGGUGCAGCCUUCGAGGAAGACUCUGAUGAGGUGGAGGAGGUCACCAUCCCACCACUGGCGCGUGGCCGGCGUCAAGGUGGCGGGGCGACCGCUGCCGACGAGGCAGCCGGGAAGAAGGGCAAGGGUGCCACAGCUUCCCGGCCGGCCUNNNNNNNNNNNNNNNNNNNNNNNNNNNNNNNNNNNNNNNNNNNNNNNNNNNNNNNNNNNNNNNNNNNNNNNNNNNNNNNNNNNNNNNNNNNNNNNNNNNNCCCUCUCGUAGAUGGACAUCACCAUGAUAGGUCUUCGUGCGCGUAGGAAAUUUUUGUUUCCCAUGUGACGUUCCCCAACAGUGGCAUCAUGAGCUAGGUUCAUGCGUAGAUGUCUUCUCGAGUAGAUCACAAAAGUUUUUUUGGGCGGAGAUGUGCGUUUUUCUGCCCUCCUUAGUCUUUUCUUGAUUCCGCGGUAUUGUUGGAUUGAAGCGGCUUGGACCGACAUUACUCGUACGCUUACGAGAGACUGGUUUCAUCGCUCAAAGAUGACUGGCAAGUGUCGGUUUCUCAAAGAUGACUGGCAAGUGUCGGUUUCUCCAACUUUAGUUGAAUCGGAUUUGACCGAGGAGGUCCUUGGAUGAGGUUAAAUAGCAACUCAUAUAUCUCCGGUGUGGUGUUUGUGUAAGUAAGAUGCGAUCCUACUAGAUACCCAUGGUCACCACGUAAAACAUGCAACAACAAAAUUAGAGGACGUCUAACUUGUUUUUGCAGGGUAUGCUUGUGAUGUGAUAUGGCCAAUGAUGUGAUGUGAUAUAUUGGAUGUAUGAGAUGAUCAUGUUGUAAUAGAAAAUAUCGACUUGCACGUCGAUGGUACGGCAACCGGCAGGAGCCAUAGGGUUGUCUUUAUACUAACGUUUGUGCUUGCAGAUGCGUUUACUAUUUUGCUAGGAUGUAGCUUUAGUAGUAAUAGCAUGAGUAGCACGACAACCCCGAUGGCGACACGUUGAUGGAGAUCAUGAUGAUGGAGAUCAUGGUGUGACGCCGGUGACAAGAAGAUCGUGCCGGUGCUUUGGUGAUGGAGAUCAAGGAGCACGUGAUGAUGGCCAUAUCAUGUCACUUAUGAAUUGCAUGUGAUGUUAAUCCUUUUAUGCACCUUAUUUUGCUUAGAACAACGGUAGCAUUAUGAGGUGAUCUCUCACUAAAAUUUCAAGACGAAAUUGUGUUCUCCCCGACUGUGCACCGUUGCUACAGUUCGUCGUUUCGAGACACCACGUGAUGAUCGGGUGUGAUAGACUCAACGUUCACAUACAAUGGGUGCAAAACAGUUGCGCACGCGGAACACUCGGGUUAAGCUUGACGAGCCUAGCAUGUGCAGACAUGGCCUCGGAACACAUGAGACCGAAAGGUCGAGCAUGAAUCAUAUAGUUGAUAUGAUUAGCAUAGAGAUGCUUACCACUGAAACUAUUCUCGACUCACGUGAUGAUCGGACUUGAGAUAGUGAAUUUGGAUCAUGUACCACUCAAAUGACUAGAGAGAUGUACUUUUUGAGUGGGAGUUCUUAAGUAAUAUGAUUAAUUGAACUAAUUGUCAUGAACAUAGUCUAAUAGUCUUUGUGAAUUACGAUGUAGCUUGCGCUAUAGCUCUACUGUUUAUAUGUUCCUAGAGAAAAUUUAGUUGAAAAUUGAUAGUAGCAAACUUUGCAGACUGAGUCUGUAAAACCGAGGAUUGUCCUCGUUGCUACGCAGAAGGCUUAUGUCCUUAAUGCACCACUCGAUGUGCUGCACCUCGAGCGUCGUCUGUGGAUGCUAUGAACAUCCGACAUUCACGUUUCUGAUGACUACACGAUAGUUCAGUGCAAAAUACUUAAUGGCUUAGAAGCAAGGCGCCGAAAACGUUGUAAAACGUCACGGAACAUAAGUGAUGUUCUAAAGAGAUGAAAUUGUGAUUUCAUGCUUGUGCCCUUGUUAAGAGGUACGGGACCUCCAACAAGAUUCUUUGUCCACAAAGUAAAGGAGAAAAGCUCAAUCGUUGAGCGUGUGCUCAGAUUGUCUGAGUACGACAAUCACUUGAAUCAAGUGGGAGUUAAUCUUCCAGAUGAGAUAAGUGAUGGUUCUCCAAAGUCACUGCCACCAAGCUGUGAGAGCUUCGUGAUGAACUAUAACAUAUCAAGGAUAGAUACAAUGAUCCUUGAGCGAUUCGCGAUGUUUGACACUGCGAAAGUAGAAAUCAAGAAGGAGCGUCAAUAGUUGAUGGUUUGUAAAACCACUAAGUUUCAAGAAAGGCAAGGGCUAGAAGGGAUACUUCGUGAAACGGCAAAACAGUUGCUGCACUAAUGAAUAGACCCAAGAUUAAACCCAAACCUAAGACUAAGUGCUUCUGUAAUGAGGGGAACAGUCACUGAGGCGGAGCAACUCUAGAUACUUGGUAGAUAAGAAGGCUGGCAAAAGUCGAAAGAAGUGUAUUUGAUAUACAUGAUGUAGAUGUGUACUUUACUAGUACUCCUAGUAGCAUGAGGGUAUUGGAUACCGGUUCGGUUGCUAAGUGAUUUGUAACACGAAAUGAAAGCUACGGCAUAAACGGAGACUAGCUAAAGGCGAGGUGACGAUACGUGUUGGAAAUGUUUCCAAGGUUGAUAUGAUCAAAUGUCGCACGCUCCCUCUACCAUCGGGAUUGGUGUUAAACCUAAAUAAUUGUUAUUUGGUGCUUGCGUUAAGCAUGAACAUGAUUGGAUCGUGUUUAUUGCAAUAGGAUUAUUCAUUUAAAGGAGAAUAAUGGUUACUCUAUUUUCUUGAAUAUUCACCUUCAAUGGUUUAUUGAAUCUCGAUCGUAGUGUUACACAUGUUCAUGAUAUUGGUGCCAAAAGAUACGAGUUAAUGAUGAUAGUACCACUUACUUGUGGCACUGCCGCUUGAGUCAUGUUAGUAUAAAUUGCAUGAAGAGGCUCCAUGCUGAUGGAUCUUUGUACUCACCUGAUUUCGAAUCACUAGUGACAUGCAAAUCAUACCACAUGAGCAAGGCCUUGUUUUCAUUGAGAUGAAAUAAGAUAGUAACUUGUUGGAAGUGAUACAUUUUUGAUGUAUGCAGUCCAAUGGGUGCUGAGGCACGUAGUAGAUAUCAUUAUGUUCUUACUUCACUGACGAUUUGAGUAGAUACAGGAGUAUUUACUUAAUGAAUCACAAGUCUGAAAUGUUGAAAAGUUCAAUUCCUUUUCAGAGUGAAGUUCGUCGUAACAAGAGGAUAAACUUUCUACGAUAUGAUCAUGGAAAUGAAUAUCUGAGUUACGAGUUUUGGUACGCAGUUAAGACAAUGUGGAAAUUGUUUCGCAGUUCAUGCCACCUGGAACAUCAUAGUGUGAUGAUGUGUCUGAACGUCAUAGCCACGCACUAUUUGGUAUGGUGCAUACUAUGAUGUCUCUUAUCGAAUUACCACUAUCGUUUAUGGGUUAUGCAUUAGAGACAACCGCACUCACUUUAAAUAGGGCACCGCGUAUUUCCGUUGAGAUGACACAGUAUAGACUGAGGUUUAGAGAAAUCUAAACUGUCGUUUCUUGAAAGUUUGGGGCUUCGACACUUAUGUGAAAAAGUUUCAGUCUGAUAAGCUCGAACCCAAAGCGGAUAAAUGCAUCUUCAUAGGAUAUCCAAAACAGUUGGGUACAUCUCCUAUCUCAGAUCCGAAAGCAAAGUGUUUGUUUCUAGAAACGGAUCCUUUCUCGAGGAAAGGUUUCUCUCGAAAGAAUUGAGUGGGAGGGUAGUAAAACUUGAUGAGGUUAUUGAACCAUCACUUCAACCAGUGUGUAGCAGGGCGCAGGAAGUUGUUCCUGUGGCGCCUACACCAAUUGAAGUGGAAGCUGAUGAUGGUGAUCAUUGAGCUUCGAAUCAAGUUACUACAAACCUCAUAGGUCGACAAGGUCGCGUACUGCUGCAGAGUAGUACGGUAACCCUGUCUUGGAGGUCAUGUUGUUGAGCAACAGUGAACCUACGAGUUAUGGAGAAAGCAAUGGUGGGCCCAGAUUCCGACAAAUGGCUGGAAGCCAUGAAAUCCGAGAGAGGAUCCAUGGAUGAAAACAAAGUGUAGACUUUGGAAGAAUUACUUGAUGGUCAUAGGACUAUUGAGUAAAGAUGGAUCUUUAAAGGAAACAGACGAUGAUGGUGAUAAAUCACUAUUAAGAAAAGCUCGACUUGUCACAAAGAUGUUUUCGACAAGAUCAAACAGUUGACUAUGAUGAGACUUUCUCACUCGUAGCGAUGCUAAAAGUCUAUUAGAAUUAUGUUAGUUGUUGAUGCAUUAUUUAUGAAAUAUUGCACGUAGGAUGUCAAAACAUUGUUUUCUCGACGGUUUCCUUGAGCAAACAUUGUAUGUGAUACAACCAGAAGGUUUUGUCGAUCCUAAAGAUACUAGCAAGUAUGCAAGCUCCAGUGGUCCUUCAAUGGACUGGUGCAAGCAUCUCGGAGUUGGAAUAUACACUUUGAUGAGAUGAUCAAAGAUUUUGGGUUUGUACAAGGUUUAUGAGAAACUUGUAUUUCCAAAGAAGUGAGUGGGAGCACUACAGAAUUUCUGAUAGGUAUAUGUGGUUGACAUAUUGUGGAUCAGAAGUAAUGUAGAAUUUCUGUAAAGCAUACAAGGUUGUUUGAAAGAAGUUUUCAAAGGAGUACCUGGAUUACGCUACUUGAACGUUGAGCAUCAAAGAUCUAUGGAGAUAGAUCGAAAGCGCUUAAUAGAAGUUUCAACAAGAUGCAUGCCUUGACAAGUUUUUGAAAGAGUUCAAAAUAGACCAGCAAAGAAGGAGUUCUUGGUUGCGUUGUAAGGUGUGAAUUUGAGCAAGACUCAAAACCCGACCACGGCAGAAUAAAGAGAAUAGACGAAGGUCGUCUUCUAUGCCUUAGCCGUAGAAUCUAAAGUAUGCCAUGAUGUGUACCGCACCUGAUGUGUGCCUUGACUCAAAGUCUGUUGAGAGGUACAGAGAGUGAUCCAUGAUUGAAUCACUAGCAGCGGUCAAAAUUUAUCCUUAGUAACAAAUGGACUAAGGAAUUUUUCUCGAUUAUGGAGGUGGUUAAAGAGUUCGGCGUAAAGGGUUACGUCGAUGCAAGCUUUGACACUAAUCCGAAUAACUAUGAGUAGUGAAACGGAUUCAUAUAGUAGAGUAGAUAUUUGGAGCAUUUCCGAAUAGCACGUAGUAGCAGCAUCUAUGAGAUGACAUAAAGAUUUGUAAAGAACGCACGGAUCUGAAAGUUUCAGAACCGUUGAAUAAAACCUCUCUCACGAGCAAGACGUGAUCAGACCCCAUAACUAUAUGGGUGUUGGAUUCGUUGGAAUCACAUGGUGAUGUGAACUAGAUUAUUGACUCUAGUGCAAGUGGGAGACUGUUGGAAAUAUGCCCUAGAGGCAAUAAUAAAUUAGUUAUUAUUAUAUUUCUUAGUUCAUGAUAAUCGUUUAUUAUCCAUGCUAUAAUUGUAUUGAUUGGAAACACAAUACUUGUGUGGAUACAUAGACAAAACACUGUCCCUAGUAAGCCUCUAGUUGACUAGCUCGUUGAUCAAAGAUGGUCAAGGUUUCCUGGCCAUAGGCAAGUGUUGUCACUUGAUAACGGGAUCACAUCAUUAGGAGAAUCAUGUGAUGGACUAGACCCAAACUAAUAGACGUAGCAUGUUGAUCGUGUCAUUUUGUUGCUACUGUUUUCUGCGUGUCAAGUAUUUAUUCCUAUGACCAUGAGAUCAUAUAACUCACGGACACCGGAGGAAUGCUUUGUGUGUAUCAAACGUCGCAACGUAACUGGGUGACUAUAAAGAUGCUCUACAGGUAUCUCCGAAGGUGUUCGUUGAGUUAGUAUGGAUCGAGACUGGGAUUUGUCACUCCGUGUGACGGAGAGGUAUCUCGGGGCCCACUCGGUAAUACAACAUCACACACAAGCCUUGCAAGCAAUGUGACUUAGUGUAAGUUGCGGGAUCUUGUAUUACGGAACGAGUAAAGAGACUUGCCGGUAAACGAGAUUGAAAUAGGUAUGCGGAUACUGACGAUCGAAUCUCGGGCAAGUAACAUACCGAAGGACAAAGGGAAUGACAUACNNNNNNNNNNNNNNNNNNNNNNNNNNNNNNNNNNNNNNNNNNNNNNNNNNNNNNNNNNNNNNNNNNNNNNNNNNNNNNNNNNNNNNNNNNNNNNNNNNNNAUUAUCAACUCUUUGUCCUAGAACAACACCAACAACAUAAUAACUAGCAUCACACAUAAUUUCAAAAGGCAAGUUCCAAUCACGUGGUUGAACAAUAGGUGCAUAAGUUAAGGCUUUCUUAAGUGUUUCAAAGGCUUCUACACAAUCAUCAUAAAAAAUGAAAGGAACAUCCUUUUGUAAUAAAUCAGUAAGAGGCCUAGAAAUUUUAGAUAAGUCUUUAAUAAACCUCCCAUAGAAACCAACAUGACCAAGGAAACUACGAAUACCUUUAAUAUCUUUAGGACGUGGCAUCUUCUCAAUUGCAUCAACUUUAGCCUUAUCCACCUCAAUACCUCGUUCAGAAAUUUUAUGAACCAAGACAAUACCUUCAUUUACCAUAAAGUGACACUUCUCCCUAUUCAAGACAAGGUUAGUUUGCUCACAUCUCUGCAAAACUCGAUCAAGGUUGCUUAAGCAACCAUCAAAAGAAGUUCCGUAAACAGAAAAAUCAUCCAUGAAGACCUCAACAAUCUUUUCACAAAAACAAGAGAAUAUAACACUCAUACAUCUCUGAAAGGUAGCUGGUGCAUUGCAUAAUCCAAAAGGCAUACGUCUACAGGCAUAAGUUCCAAAAGUAUCAGUAAAGGUGGUUUUCUCUUAAUCAGGUUGUGGCACACGUGUUUGAGAGAAACCAGAAUAACCAUCUAAAAAGAAAAAAUGAAAUGUGUGUGCUUCGAUAAUCUUUCUAGAAUUUGGUCUAUGAAAGGUAAAGGAUAGUGACCCUUUCCAGUAGCUUUGUUUAAUUUUCUAAAACCAAUUACCAUUCUAUAGCUAGUGAAAAUUCUUUGUGGAAUGAGUACAUUUUUAUUAUUAGGAACAACAGUAAUACCUCCUUUCUUAGUAACACAAUGAACGGGAAUUACCCAUCUACUAUCAACUACGGGAUAAAUUAUAAUUGCUUCGAGAAGCUUUAAUAUUUCAUUUCUUACCACUUACAUCUUGGGAUUCAGUCUUCGUUGGUGAUCAACAACGGGUUUAGAAUCUGGUUCCAUAUUAAUCUUGUGCUGACAGAGAAUGGGAUUAAUGCCCUUAAGAUCAUCAAGAGUAUACCCAAUAGCAGCUCGAUGCUUCCUUAGAGUCUUCAAUAAUCUUUCCUCUUCAUGCUUUGUAAGGUUAGCAGUGAUAAUAACAUGAUAUAUCUUAUUUUCAUCAUCAAGAUAAGCAUAUUUUAAAGUGACAGGUAAUUGAUUUAGUUCAAACACAGGAUCACCCUUGGGUGGAGGAGGACCUCCUAGAGUUUCAACAUGCAAGUUGUGUUUAAGGAUAGGCUUUUUCUCAAAGAACAUAUUCUCUAGUUCAUUUCUUUCAUGCAUAUGCAUAUCAUUUUCAUGGUAUAGCAAAUAUUGUUCUAAUGGAUCAGUAGGAGGAAUGUCAAUAGAAGCAAGACCAAUUACUUCAUAUUUACUAGGCAAUUCUUUAUCAUGGGGUUGCUUACUAAACUUGGAGAAAUGAAACUCAUGAGACAUACCACCAAAAUUAACACUAGCAAUUUCCUUUUUGCAAUCUAUUUGAGCAUGGAAAGUGUUCAAGAAGGGUCUACCAAAUAUUAUGGGACAAAAAUUAUCUUGUGGUGAGCUGAGUAUUAGAAAAUCUGUAGGGUAUUUUACUUUUUGACACAAGGCUUCAACAUCUCUAACAAUCCCAAGUGGCGUGAUGGUGUCUCUAUUAGCAAGUUUAGUAGUAACAUCUAUGUCUUCUAUGUCAGCGAGUGCUAUAUCAUGCAUGAUUUCUUGAUAUUAGGUAAAAGGAAUAGCACUAACACUAGCACCCAUUUCACAUACACCAUGAUAGCGAUGAUCUCGUAUUUAGACUGAAACGACAGGCAUGCCAACAACAUGUCUAUUCUUAUCUUUUGUAUGAGGUUUGGCAAUUCUAAGAGCUUCAUUACAGAGAUAAAUAACAUGCCCAUCAAUAUUGUCUACCAAGAGAUCUUUAACCAUAGCAGUACUAGGUUCUACCUUGAUUUUCUAAGAGGGUUUGGUUGUUUUAACAUAACUUUUGUUAACCACAGUUGAAGCUUUAGCACGUUCCUUUAUCCUUACAGGGAAAGGUGGUUUCUCAAUAUAAGCAGUAGGCACAACUGGGUCAACAUUGUAAAUGAUAGUUUCAGCCUCAACUUUAAUUGGUUCUUCAACUUUUUAUUUAAUAGGUGGAUGAUAUUUAAACCAUUUCUCUUUAGGGAGAUCAACAUGAGCAGCAAAGGUUCAACAUAAUGAGGCUACUAUUUGAGAGUCAAGUCCAUAUUUAGUGCUAAAAUCAUUGAAAGCAUCAUAUUCAUAAAAGACCUAACACAAUCAAACUUAAGUUUUACACCUGACUCUUUACCUUCAUUGAGUUCCCAAUCUUCAGAGUUGCAUUUAAUUAUUUCCAAAAUAUCCCACCUGAAUUCAAUAGUCUUGUUCAUAAAAGAACCAAAAUAAGAAAUAUCGAGCAUGGUUUAAUCAUUACGAGAAAGACGAGCAUACAAAUUAUGAAUAAUAAUUUCUCUCAAAAGCUCAUGAUUGGGGCAUGAAUAUAACAUUGACUUCCGGAUCCACUAAGCUAGAGCGAUACUUUCUCCUUCACAAGGCCAAAAAUUAUAGAUAAAAUUCCGAUCACGAUGAUCCUCCAAGUGCAAUCAGUUCUAGUUCCAAGAUCCUGUAUCAUCACAUAGCCUAUACCAUGUCAAUGAUUUCCCCCCAAAAGAUAAAGGGAAAACAUUCUUCUUGACUUCAUCUCUGGAUAAACCUGCAAGCUUAAAUAAUCCUCAAACUUCAUCCACUUAGAUUAGGUGCAUAUCGGGUUGUUUCAUCUCCUGCAUAAGGAUUAGCUAGCAAUUUCUCUAUCAUACCCAAAGGAAUUUCAUAAUAAACAUUUUCAGUAGGUUUAGGAGGUUGAGGGACGACUCUUGGUGUUUCAUUCAAGGAGAAGAUACCCCGAACAAACCCCUCAAAGGAUUACUUUCCAUAGUGUCAGGUAAUAGUAAAGUUCAACACGUAAUAUAAAAUUUCCCUUACCAAAUUCCACUUACCAAAGGCGCUUCACUCCCCGUCAACGGCGCCAGAAAAGAGUCUUUGUGACCCACAAGUAUAGGGUGUCAAUAAUGGUCCUUCCGAUAAGUAAGAGUGUCAAACCCAAUGAAAAGGGGAAGGAAAUGACAAACGGUUUUCAACAAGGUAAUUUCUACAAGCACUGAAAUAGCGGUAACAAGUUGUUUGAUAGCAAGAUAACUGUAACAAGUGAUAAGUAGCAAUAGUAACAAUAGGUGCAGCAAGGUAGCCCAAUCAUUUUGUGGAAAAGGAUAGGCCGAAACAGAUUCUUAUAAUAGGCAAAGCGUUCUCGAGGGCACGCGGGAAUUUCAUCUAGUCACUUUUAUCAUGUUGGAUUAAUUCGUGUUCGGUAUUUUGAUAAUUUGAUAUGUGGGUGGACCGGUGCUUGGGUGUUGUUCUUACUUGAAAAAACGUCCCACUUAUGAUUAACCCUCCUGCAAGCAUACGCAACUACAAGAAAAGUAUUAAGAAUAAAUUCUAACCAUAGCAUUAAGCAUAGGGAUCAAAAUCAGCCCCUUACAGAGUAGUGCAUAAACUGGGGUUUAAUUUUAUGCCUGUCUCGUAACCCACCCUCUAAUUACUACUCCACAAUGCACUCCCUUGGGCCCAAAGAUGGUGAAGUGUUAUGUAUUCCGUGUUCACAUAACACCACUAAUUAAGGGAAUCACAACAUUCAUAUCAUCGAAAUAUCGAACGGAUAUAAACUUCACAUGACUACUUGCAACAUGAUUUCUACCGUGGCCUCAAGAACAAAAGUAACUACUCACAAGUGAUAAACAUGAUCAUGAUAUGGGAGGUAUUAAAUAGCAUAAUGGAUCUGAGCAUAUGAUCUUCCACCAAAUAAACCAUAAAGCAUCAACUACAAGAUGUAAUCAACACUACUAGUCACACCCCAAGUACCAAUUCGAGGUUUCGGUACAAGAUUGAGCAUAAGAGAUGAACUAGGGUUUUGAGAGGAGAUGGUGAUGAUAAAGAUGUUGAUGAAGAUUGUCCUCCUCAAGAUGAGAGGGUUGUUGGUGAUGACGAUGGCGUCGAUUUCCCCCUCCGGGAGGGAAGUUCCUCCGACGGAAUCGCUCCAUCGGAGGGCAAAAAUACUCCUGCCCAGGUUCCGCCUCAAGACGGUGGUGCUUCAUCCCGAAAGUCCUCCUCUUAAUUUUGUCAGGGUAAAUGGGAAUUUAUACGAGAAUAUGAUCGCUAGAGGUGGGAUAGGGGGUCCAUGAUGUCCCACAAGCGUAUGGGAUCGCAACAGUUUUCGAGGGUAGAGUAUUCAACCCAAAUUUAUUGAUUCGCUCACAAGGGGAAGCUAAAGGAUAUUCUCAAGUAUUAGCAGCUGAGUCAUCAAUUCAACCACACCUGAAAGAUUAGUGUCUGCAAGCACAGUAUCAGUAGCAAGGCAGUAUGAUAACAACGGAGCCAGAAACGAUCUGGUGAGAAGGCAGACUAUUCCUAACUGUUUUAUCAAUGGCGCCAGUAAAAGCUUUGGCAAUCCCCGGCAAUGGUGCCAGAAAAAUCCUUGUUGACGGGAUGUUAACGCCAACAAAGUCUUGCAACAAGUAACAGCGGAGUAGAAAGGAACAGUAGUAGCAGCAGCAAAGUAACAAGUAACAGCAGUAGCGACAGCAGCAGCAAAGUGGCCCGAUCCCUCUUGUAGCAAGGGACAAGCCUAGGCAAAGUAACGUAGCGAGGACCACUAGUAAAAGACUCGUAGGCAGUGGAUCGGUGAUGGAUGAGUGUGAUGGAUGUGAUUCAUCAUGUAACAGCUAUAACACGGAGAGAUAUGUGGCUAGCUCCCGUUCAUCAAUCUAAUGUAGGCAUGUAUUCCGUAUGUAGUCAUACGUGCUUAGGGAAAAGAACUUGCAUGCCAUCUAUUGUCCAUCCCUCCCGUGGCAGCGGGGUCCUAAUGGAAACUACGGGAUAUUAAGGUUAUCCUUUUAAUAAAGAACCGGACCAACGCAUUAACACGCGGUGAAUACAUGAACUCCUCAUACUAUGAUCAUCUCCGGGAGUGGUUCUGGCUAUUGUCACUCCGGGGUUGCCGGGUCAUAACACAUAGUAGGUGACUACAACUUGCAAGAUAGGAUCUAAAACACACAUAUAUUGGCGACAACAUAAUAGGUUCAGAUCUGAAAUCAUGGCACUCGGGCCCUAGUGACAAGCAUUAAGCAUAGCCAAGUAGUAGCAACAUCAAUCUAGAACAUAGUGGAUACUAGGGAUCAAUCCCCGUCAAGAACUAACUCGAUUACAUGAUAGAUCUCAUCCAACUCAUCAUCGUCCAGCAAGCCUACGAUGAGAUUACUCACGAACGAUGAAGACCAUCAUGGAAUUGUCGAUGGAGAAAGGUUGAUGAUGACGAUGGCGACGAUUUCCCCUCUCCGGAGCCCGAAACAGACUCCAGAUCUGCCCUCCAUAUGAAGAACAGGAUGUGGCGGCGCCUCCGUAUCGCAAAACGCGAUGAAACCUUCUCUCUAAUUUUUUUCCAGGCGAAACGGAAGAUAUAGGACUGAGAUUGGGGGCGGUGGUGCCACGUGGGCCCCACAAGCCUGCAUGGCGCGGCCUAGGGGGGUGGCUGCGUCGUGUGGGCUUGUGGCCCACUGGCACACCCCCUCACGUGGAUCUUUGCGCAGGUAUUUUUCUUUUAUUCCAGAAAAAAUCACCGUAAAUUUUUAGGACGUUCCGAGAACUUUCAUUUCUGCACAAAAACAACACCAUGGCAAUUCUGCUGAAAACAGCGUCAGUCCGGGUUAGUUCCGUUCAAAUCAUGCAAAUUAGAGUCCAAAACAAGGGCAAAAGAGUUCGGAAAAGUAGAUACGACGGAGACGUAUCAGUCCACUAGACAUAACAUCGCGCUAGGGGGAGCUCGCGUGCCCUAGUGUCUAGUGGGCGCCUGGUAGCCCCCCUCCGAUACUUCUUUGCUCAAAUAUUUUUUAUUUAUUCCAAAAUAAAUCUACGUAAAGUUUCAGCCCAAUUGGAGAUGUGCAGAAUAGGUAUCUUUGACGUAGAUUUUUAAGGUCCAAAAAACUAACAAACUAUGUUUUCAGUCAACUUUACAACACAAUUCAUCAUACUUUCAGGAAGGGUCACAUAGCGGAGCUUUUAAGCAAGUAUACUACUCAACCAUCAUUUAGUCUUCUAUGAUUGCUAACACUCACCGCAUUCAUAUGAGCAAAAGGUUUCAACCGGACACAGAAAGAUAGGGGCAUAUACCUCCCAACGUAUUCACCUCAAGGGUGAUGUCAACAAUAAUAACUCAUGACCACACACAUUCAGAUGGAUAUAUAUGUCUAGAUAUUUUCCCACCACAUGAUGCUUGCCAAAGAGUUGUGGGAUAUAAAAGGUGCACGUGUGGGGGAUGAGCACAAAUAGGAGGAAUUUUACCUACGAGCGUUGCUCUUUGUAACCAUACAUGAGUGGCCUACUCUUAGUAACCUUUGAGGACAGACAAACAAAGGAUACAAUGCAUGCACGCGCUAUUUAGGUGAGACCAGAAGUAUAUAUUUGGAUAAAUGUAAGAAGAAUGUGUACGUGCGACAUCGUCGAUUUCUUCGGAUGAAGCAUCUCUUAAGAAAGAAAGGCAAGCAUUUCAAAGGUGAGGCAGAUCACCGGAAGAAGCCUGACCAUCGUACUAAUGCUCAUAUACUUGAUAUGGUCAAGGAUUUAAAAGUAUUCUUUGGAAAUGGUCCCGGUGGACAAUCUGUUCCGAAUGACGCUGACGGACACACACCCAUGUGGAAGAAGAAAUCUACAUUUUGGGACCUACCCUAUUGGAAAGUCCUAGAGGUUCGCUCUGCAAUCGACGUGAUGCAUGUGAUGAAGAAUCUUUGUGUGAACCUGCUAAGCUUAUUUGGCGUUUAUGGUAAGACAAAAGAUACACCGAGGCAUGGGAGGACCAGCAACGUUAACACGAAAAGGACGACAUGCAUCCAAAUCAGUAUCAAGGUCCUGCCAGAGGCGCUCUUACCAAAGAAGAGAAGGAAAUCUUCUUUGAAUGCAUGCUCGGUAUGAAGAUCCGGUUUGGUUUCUCAUCGAAUAUAAAUGGAAUAAUAAAUAUGGUAGAGAAAAAAAUUGAAAACCUAAAGCCUCAUGACUGCCACGUGAUUAUGACGCAAUUACUUCGCAUUGCAUUGAGUGGGCUUCUACCUGAAAAUGUUCGAUUAGCCAUUGGGAAGCUAUGUGCAUUCCUCAAUGCAAUUUUUCAGAAGGUAAUCGAUCGAGAAAUCCUACCAAGUUUACAAAAUGAUUUGGUGCAAUGUCUUGUCAUUUUUGAGUUGGUGUUCCCGCCAUCCUUCUUCAAUAUCACGACACAUGUCCUAGUUCACCUAGUUGAAGAUAUUACCAUUCUCGAUCAUGUAUUUCUACACAAUAUGUUCCCCUUUGAGAGGUUCAUGGGAGUCUUAAAGAAAUAUGUUCAUAACCGUGCUAGGACAGAAGGAAGCAUCUCCAAGGGCCAUGAAACAGAGGUGGUUAUUGAGUUUUGUGUUGAAUUUAUUCCCGACCUUAAGUUGAUUAGUGUUCCUGAAUCGCGGCAUGAGGGGAACAAAGUGGAAAAGGCACGCUAGGAAAGUAUUCAACAAUAUGUAGGGACGGACAUUCUUGGGUGCAAGGACACUAGACAUUUCUACAAAAUUCUACCUUGGUGGUCCCGUAUAUCAAUGAACACAAGAAUAUUCUAUGUUGCAAACAACCGGAGCAGUCUGACGACUGGAUUACACAUGAACACAUGGGGACUUUUGGCGGUUGGUUGCAAACACAUUCAUGGGUAACAACACUGUUGGAGAUGACCUGUACUUGUUGGCCAGGAC